CAGGGACGUGGUGCAGUCACCGUCCCUGGAGGUGUUCAGAACUGUGUGGUUGUGGCACUGAGGCGGUGACAACAUACAGCUUCAGUUCCAGAACUUCCUUGCUUUGGAGGCUGCACUGCUCCCAGGAACUGCAUCAGGCUGUUAGCACAGAACUGGGAGGGUGCUAAAGAUGAUGGCCUAUAGAGCCUGACUGCUGCACAUUGAUACAUCAGCCAAGAUGUCACUGCCCUGUGCAAGUCUGUGCUGAAUGUGCUGAUGGACAUGUCCAGAUGAAAGACAGACAAAAUAUUCAACAAUCUAUUAAGUCUACUAUGUAUCCUGCUCACUGCUUUCUUCACAUUUUAACCCAUCAUUAUACAUCUUUGAGGGCCUUCCAACAUCUUUGCAUAUAUGCCCCAUGUCAUGAGUGUUCAAGACAGUUACUAGCAUCUCCUCUCUGCAUUUUUGCAUGCUCUCACAAGCACAGCACACACAUCCAGCAAGAUGGGCCGGCAAAGCUGCACAAUAUGCUGUUCUGCAGUAGCUUCAACCUAUGAGGCCUUUAAGGAGGAAACUGCUCCAGGUAACACCAGAGAUAACUUUCAAUAAGUAUUCAGUUUUAAACCAGAAAUGCUGGUCUAAGGUGUGUUGCCAUAGAUUAUAGCACAAUUAUGACAUACAUGUAUUUUUUUUUUAUUCUUUCCACUAAUCAGUAUAUGGUGCCUUUUGAAAUUGAAUGUUAUUUUCCUUUGUUGUGCCAGUUUUGAUCUUCCCAGCAGUUCUGAGCAGGGUUACAGAAUAUAAUUUUUGUUUUGUUCAUAAGGAAAACAACAUUUUCAUUAAAAAAAUUAUGCUCAUUUA
Numida meleagris (helmeted guineafowl) is the source of this 840-nucleotide long non-coding RNA. RefSeq lists it as uncharacterized. The transcript has 2 exons. NCBI's taxonomy places the organism in Eukaryota, Metazoa, Chordata, Aves, Galliformes, Numididae. The record is from RefSeq and is a predicted model, not a curated record.